RNAcentral lists this transfer RNA (64 nucleotides) under Hycleus scutellatus. RNAcentral's name for it is "tRNA-Arg". Lineage: Eukaryota; Metazoa; Arthropoda; Insecta; Coleoptera; Meloidae. The record is from RNAcentral.
AAGUAAGAAGCAAAAUUUGCAUUUAGUUUCGACCUAAAAGUUGGUUAUAAAUAACCCUUACUUA